RNAcentral lists this ribosomal RNA (492 nucleotides) under uncultured bacterium. RNAcentral's name for it is "partial 16S ribosomal RNA". It matches the Rfam family "Bacterial small subunit ribosomal RNA", at positions 29 to 507 of the family's 1533-position model. The record is from RNAcentral.
AUUGAACGCUGGCGGCAUGCCUUACACAUGCAAGUCGAACGGUAACAGGCCUUCGGGUGCUGCCGAGUGGCGUACGGGUGAGUAAUGCACCCGAACGUGCCCAGUGGCGGGCGAUAACGCAGCCAAAGCUGUGCUAAUAUCUCAUGUGAUCUGAGGUAGAGAGCGGGGGACCACGCAGCAAUGUUUGGCCUCGUGCUUCUGGAGCGGCCGAUGUCAGAUUAGGUAGUUGGCGGGGUAAAGGCCAACCAAGCCGACGAUCGGAAUCUGGUCUGAGAGGACGACCAGACACACUGGGAGUGAGACACGGCCGCGACUCCGACGCGAGGAAGCAGUGGGGAAUCUUAGGCGAUGGGGGAGAGCCUGAUCCAGGAAAGCCGCGUGAGGGAUGAAGGCGUUCGGGUUGGAAACCGCUGUUGGACGGAACGAAAAGACGCUGGCUAAUACGUGAGGCUAAUGACGGUACCGUAAGAAUAAGCACCGGCUAACUACGUG